AGAGUUUGAUCAUGGCUCAGAUUGAACGCUGGCGGCAGGCUUAACACAUGCAAGUCGAGCGGGCGAGGUUGCUUCGGUAACUGAGCUAGCGGCGGACGGGUGAGUAAUGCUUAGGAAUCUGCCUAUUAGUGGGGGACAACAUUCCGAAAGGGAUGCUAAUACCGCAUACGUCCUACGGGAGAAAGCAGGGGCUCUUUAUGACCUUGCGCUAAUAGAUGAGCCUAAGUCGGAUUAGCUAGUUGGUGGGGUAAAGGCCUACCAAGGCGACGAUCUGUAGCGGGUCUGAGAGGAUGAUCCGCCACACUGGGACUGAGACACGGCCCAGACUCCUACGGGAGGCAGCAGUGGGGAAUAUUGGACAAUGGGGGGAACCCUGAUCCAGCCAUGCCGCGUGUGUGAAGAAGGCCUUUUGGUUGUAAAGCACUUUAAGUGGGGAGGAGGCUUACCUGGUUAAUACCUAGGAUAAGUGGACGUACCCACAGAAUAAGCACCGGCUAACUCUGUGCCAGCAGCCGCGGUAAUAC
This 524-nucleotide ribosomal RNA is filed under the name uncultured bacterium. RNAcentral's name for it is "bacterial SSU rRNA". It matches the Rfam family "Bacterial small subunit ribosomal RNA", at positions 8 to 526 of the family's 1533-position model. The record is from RNAcentral.